RNAcentral lists this ribosomal RNA (270 nucleotides) under uncultured archaeon. RNAcentral's name for it is "partial 16S ribosomal RNA". It matches the Rfam family "Archaeal small subunit ribosomal RNA", at positions 477 to 747 of the family's 1478-position model. The record is from RNAcentral.
CAGCUCUCCGAGUGGUAGGGAAGAUUAUUGGGCUUAAAGCGUCCGUAGCCGGCUUAGCAAGUCUCCUGUUAAAUUCAGCGACCUAAUCGUUGAGCCGCGGGAGAUACUACUAGGCUAGGAGGCGGGAGAGGUCGACGGUACUUCCGGGGUAGGGGUGAAAUCCUAUAAUCCCGGGCGGACCACCAGUGGCGAAGGCUGUCGACUAGAACGCGCUCGACGGUGAGGGACGAAAGCUGGGGGAGCGAACCGGAUUAGAUACCCGAGUAGUCC